Molecule: ribosomal RNA, 273 nt
Filed under: uncultured bacterium
Lineage: Bacteria
Description: partial 16S ribosomal RNA
Rfam family: Bacterial small subunit ribosomal RNA
Source: RNAcentral
UACGGAGGGUCCAAGCGUUAUCCGGAAUCAUUGGGUUUAAAGGGUGCGCAGGCGGCCUUUUAAGUCAGUGGUGAAAUCCCAUGGCUCAACCAUGGAACUGCCAUUGAUACUGAAAGGCUUGAAUGUAGUUGAAGUAGGCGGAAUGUGUAGUGUAGCGGUGAAAUGCUUAGAUAUUACACAGAACACCGAUAGCGAAGGCAGCUUACUAAGCUACUAUUGACGCUCAGGCACGAAAGCGUGGGGAGCGAACAGGAUUAGAUACCCGGGUAGUCC